Molecule: ribosomal RNA, 380 nt
Filed under: uncultured eukaryote
Lineage: Eukaryota
Description: partial 18S ribosomal RNA
Rfam family: Eukaryotic small subunit ribosomal RNA
Source: RNAcentral
CAAUAGCGUAUAUUAAAGUUGUUGCGGUUAAAAAGCUCGUAGUUGGAUUUCUGCUGAGAACGACCGGUCCGCCCUUUGGGUGUGUAUCUGGCUCUUUCUUGGCAUCUUCUUGGUGAACGUUGCUGCACUUGACUGUGUGGAGCGCUACCCAGGACUUUUACUUUGAGGAAAUUAGAGUGUUUCAAGCAGGCAUACGCCUUGAAUACAUUAGCAUGGAAUAAUAAGAUAGGACCUCGGUUCUAUUUUGUUGGUUUCUAGAGCUGAGGUAAUGAUUAAUAGGGAUAGUUGGGGGCAUUCGUAUUUAACUGUCAGAGGUGAAAUUCAGAGAUUUGUUCAAGACGAACAACUGCGAAAGCAUUUGCCAAGGACGACCCCAUUAA